This 397-nucleotide ribosomal RNA is filed under the name uncultured Nitrospina sp. RNAcentral describes it as "bacterial SSU rRNA". It matches the Rfam family "Bacterial small subunit ribosomal RNA", at positions 29 to 410 of the family's 1533-position model. The record is from RNAcentral. Lineage: Bacteria; Pseudomonadati; Nitrospinota; Nitrospinia; Nitrospinales; Nitrospinaceae.
AACGAACGCUGGCGGUGUGCUUAACACAUGCAAGUCGAACGAGAAAGUUUCCUUCGGGAAGCGAGUAAAGUGGCGCAAGGGUGAGUAACACGUGAAUAAUCUACCCUCGAGACUGGGAUAACCUGGUGAAAACUAGGCUAAUACCGGAUAAGACCACGUCCCGCAAGGGGAUGGACGGGAAAAGGAGGCUCCAACCUCCACGUUGGGGAUGAGUUCGCGGACCAUUAGCUUGUUGGUGAGAUAACAGCUCACCAAGGCUACGAUGGUUAGCCGGCCUGAGAGGGUGAACGGCCACACUGGAACUGAGACACGGUCCAGACUCCGUACGGGAGGCAGCAGGUGGGGAAUAUUGCGCAAGUGGGCGAAAGCCUGACGCAGCAACACCGCGUGAGCGAUG